Molecule: transfer RNA, 57 nt
Filed under: Oreocryptophis porphyraceus (black-banded trinket snake)
Lineage: Eukaryota; Metazoa; Chordata; Lepidosauria; Squamata; Colubridae
Description: tRNA-Ser
Source: RNAcentral
GAGGGCGCCAUAAGACCUGCUAACUCUUUUACCUGGAAUUAAUUACCAGCUCCCUCU